Molecule: non-coding RNA, 211 nt
Filed under: Paracoccaceae bacterium
Lineage: Bacteria; Pseudomonadati; Pseudomonadota; Alphaproteobacteria; Rhodobacterales; Paracoccaceae
Source: RNAcentral
CUACGACCAACACACUUUGGUCCGGUUGUGUGAACAGCCGGUUAAAAUGGGAACGCGGUGCGCGGCCUUUUGGGGCUGCAAAUCCGCGACUGCCCCCGCAACUGUAAGCGGUUAGCAAUGUCGGCAUAUGCCACUGUGGUGCAAGCCACGGGAAGGCCCGGCAAAGCGACGACCCGCAAGUCAGGAGACCUGCCAAAGUGUUCACCCUAUC